GUGCUCUAGUAGCGUUCUGCUGAGUGAAAUUAGUUUUGUACAAAUGUUAUUACUUUCUAUUAUAAACAUUGUUUUAUACUGUAUGUCAAAGAAGUUUCGGUUAAAUAUUAUAUUUCAUUUUAUUAUUUUACAAGUUGGGAAACACAUAUUUGAACCAAAACAAAAAAAGGAAAUAAGGUUAAGUACAGCUUGGAAAGUGUUUAUUGGAUAGUAUUCAUUAGUAAAUUGUCGUUUUCAACUUUUAUUUUAAUAUAAAUUCAUUUUUGUUAUUUGAUUGAAGUCAUUGUAAUUGAAAAUGUCUGAUGGGGAGGAUGAUUUUAUGUGUGAAGAAGAAGAUUAUGGUUUGGAAUAUUCAGAAGAUUCAAAUUCAGAACCUGAUGUCGAUUUAGAGAAUCAAUACUAUAACAGUAAGUCCUUAAAGGAAGAUGAUCCCAAAGCAGCCUUGCAGAGUUUUCAAAAAGUUUUGGAUUUGGAAGGAGAUAAAGGAGAAUGGGGAUUUAAAGCUCUUAAGCAGAUGAUUAAAAUUAACUUUAAACUUGGUAAUUACAAGGAAAUGAUGACUAGGUAUAAACAGUUACUCACGUACAUAAAGAGUGCUGUAACAAGAAAUCAUUCAGAAAAAUCUAUUAAUUCAAUUUUAGAUUAUAUUAGUACAUCAAAAAAUAUGGAAUUGCUUCAAGACUUUUAUGAAACUACAUUGGAUGCUUUAAAAGAUGCAAAGAAUGAUAGGUUGUGGUUCAAAACCAAUACUAAAUUAGGAAAAUUGUAUUUUGAUAGGUCAGAUUUUAAUAAACUAGCAAAGAUAUUGAAACAACUUCAUCAAAGUUGUCAGACUGAUGAUGGUGAAGAUGAUUUAAAAAAGGGAACUCAAUUAUUAGAAAUAUAUGCAUUAGAAAUUCAAAUGUAUACUGCUCAAAAAAAUAAUAAAAAGUUAAAGACUCUAUAUGAGCAAAGCCUUCAUAUUAAAAGUGCAAUUCCUCAUCCACUUAUAAUGGGUGUUAUACGAGAAUGUGGAGGAAAGAUGCAUUUAAGAGAAGGAGAAUUUGAAAGAGCACAUACUGAUUUUUUUGAAGCAUUUAAAAACUAUGAUGAGUCUGGUUCACCUCGUCGAACUACGUGUUUAAAGUAUUUAGUUCUUGCAAAUAUGUUAAUGAAAUCAGGAAUAAAUCCAUUUGAUUCUCAAGAAGCAAAACCUUAUAAGAAUGAUCCAGAAAUUUUAGCAAUGACAAAUUUGGUUAUCAGUUAUCAAAACAAUGAUAUAAAUCAAUUUGAAUUAAUUUUAAAACAGAAUAGAAAUAAUAUUAUGGAUGAUCCUUUUAUUAGAGAGCAUAUUGAAGACUUAUUACGAAAUAUUAGAACACAAGUUCUUAUAAAAUUGAUAAAACCAUAUACAAGAAUCCAUAUUCCUUUUAUUAGCAAAGAAUUGAAUAUUGAUGCAUCUGAAGUUGAAAGUUUAUUGGCAUCUUGUAUUUUAGAUAAUACAAUUAGAGGUCGCAUUGAUCAGGUGAAUCAAGUUCUUGAAUUAGACAGGAAAUCAGUAUGUGCAGCUCGCUAUAAUGCCUUGGAUAAGUGGACUACACAGUUACAAUCCUUGCAUUUAGCUAUUGUCAAUAAAAUGUCGUAAAAGUGUAGCUGCAAAUAAAACUUAAAUGUUACGAUAAGUACUAAUAGAACAUUCAUUCUUUAUCAUUUUGGUAAAGUAACUGAUAGUAAUAUAUAAAUACAGGUUUUUAGGAGCAAGUUAUUCUAUUUUAGAUCAACAAUCAUACGAAGAAUUGUGAUUCUUAGAUUGAAGAAAGAUGGACAAAUAAAUAUCAAAGUGUUAAAGUUUAUUUCAUGGAAAAACUGAUUAAUUAUUACAAUUUAUGA
RNA transcript from Ceratosolen solmsi marchali, 1869 nucleotides. It is a transcript of the gene named COP9 signalosome complex subunit 2 alien, with no coding region annotated. The record is from RefSeq and is a predicted model, not a curated record. NCBI's taxonomy places the organism in Eukaryota, Metazoa, Arthropoda, Insecta, Hymenoptera, Agaonidae. The transcript is spliced from 11 exons.